GAUGAACGCUGGCGGCGUGCCUAAUACAUGCAAGUCGAGCGAACAGACGAGGAGCUUGCUCCUCUGACGUUAGCGGCGGACGGGUGAGUAACACGUGGAUAACCUACCUAUAAGACUGGGAUAACUUCGGGAAACCGGAGCUAAUACCGGAUAAUAUAUUGAACCGCAUGGUUCAAUAGUGAAAGACGGUUUUGCUGUCACUUAUAGAUGGAUCCGCGCCGCAUUAGCUAGUUGGUAAGGUAACGGCUUACCAAGGCAACGAUGCGUAGCCGACCUGAGAGGGUGAUCGGCCACACUGGAACUGAGACACGGUCCAGACUCCUACGGGAGGCAGCAGUAGGGAAUCUUCGGCAAUGGGCGAAAGUCUGACGGAGCAACGCCGCGUGAGUGAAGAAGGUCUUCGGAUCGUAAAACUCUGUUAUUAGGGAAGAACAAAUGUGUAAGUAACUAAGCACGUCUUGACGGUACCUAAUCAGAAAGACACGGCUAACUACGUG
RNAcentral lists this ribosomal RNA (497 nucleotides) under uncultured bacterium. Its description in RNAcentral is "partial 16S ribosomal RNA". It matches the Rfam family "Bacterial small subunit ribosomal RNA", at positions 28 to 507 of the family's 1533-position model. The record is from RNAcentral.